RNAcentral lists this ribosomal RNA (443 nucleotides) under uncultured bacterium. Its description in RNAcentral is "partial 16S ribosomal RNA". It matches the Rfam family "Bacterial small subunit ribosomal RNA", at positions 338 to 795 of the family's 1533-position model. The record is from RNAcentral.
CCUACGGGAGGCAGCAGUGGGGAAUAUUGGGCAAUGGGCGCAAGCCUGACCCAGCAACGCCGCGUGAAGGAAGAAGGCUUUCGGGUUGUAAACUUCUUUUCUCAGGGACGAAGCAAGUGACGGUACCUGAGGAAUAAGCCAAGGCUAACUACGUGCCAGCAUCCGCGGCAAUACGUAGGUGGCAAGCGUUAUCCGGAUUUACUGGGUGUAAGGGGCGUGUAGGCGGGACUGCAAGUCAGAUGUGAAAACCACGGGCUCAACCUGUGGCCUGCAUUUGAAACUGUAGGUCUAGAGUACUGGAGAGGCAGGCGGAAUGCCUAGUGUAGCGGUGAAAUGCGUAGAUAUUAGGAGGAACACCAGUGGCGAAGGCGGUCUGCUGGACAGCAACUGACGCUGAGGCGCGAAAGCGUGGGGAGCAAACAGGAUUAGAUACCCCAGUAGUC